GGAUUGUGGGAUUUGAGGUCAAACCUUUCAGUGUCAAACACCAGUACGAGGGGGAGUGGAAUGGUAAUAAAACUCGCUUGAGCACUUGUGAUCCUCAUGCAAAACACAUAGUAGUCAACUCUGACACUCCGCAAGAGGUUGAAGACAGGUUGGACAUUAUAUUCACAUAUGAUGUCGAGUUCAAGGAGAGUGAUAUAAAGUGGGCAUCUCGAUGGGAC
RNAcentral lists this unclassified non-coding RNA (218 nucleotides) under Hevea brasiliensis (rubber tree). The record is from RNAcentral. Lineage: Eukaryota; Viridiplantae; Streptophyta; Magnoliopsida; Malpighiales; Euphorbiaceae.